GCAUUGGUGGUUCACUGGUAGAAUUCUCGCCUGCCACGCGGGAGACCCGGCUCUGAUUCCUGACCAAUGCA
RNAcentral lists this transfer RNA (71 nucleotides) under Danio rerio (zebrafish). It matches the Rfam family "tRNA". Rfam says of the family: Transfer RNA (tRNA) molecules are approximately 80 nucleotides in length. Their secondary structure includes four short double-helical elements and three loops (D, anti-codon, and T loops). Lineage: Eukaryota; Metazoa; Chordata; Actinopteri; Cypriniformes; Danionidae. The record is from Rfam by way of RNAcentral.